GCAUUAUUCACAGUGGCCAAGAAAUGGAAAUCACUGAAAUGUGCUUCAGUUGAUGAUUGGAUAAAGGAUAUGUGAUGUAGAAAUUGAGGCAAGUGAGGUUAAAGAACUUGUCCAAGGCCACCCUGCAAAUACAAGUGAAACCAGGAUGUACAGUUCCAGUUUCCAUUCUUAAGCAUCAUGAUUUUCUGCCUUACUAAUUGGGAUCGUGUUGUAUCAAUUUUCUACAACUUAUUUUUAUUCUUAACAGGCUAGAGUUCUCUGGACUUAUUGUUGGUAGACAUGUCCCUGGCCUCUUCUUGGAGGACGUGUCCCAUCGCUACGGGCAGUUGAGAAGCAAGAGAAGCUAGCUGCGAACCAGCUUGCACAACCGGAGGAAAAAUAGUCAUGAUAGCAAUAAUUAGAAUUCAUCAAAUUACAUUUAGAUUCUGUCCUAGAACUUCUUCAUCCUGAGUCUUUAAAGCACAUUAAGAGAUAACUCGAGAUCAAUGGUUCCAUCCAGCUGACGUUUAGUUACUUACAAGCCAUUGAACCGCUAGAAGCUAAAUGAUGUCAUCUGCUCCAGUAGUUUGUAGUGAAGACAUCAAAAUGCACACAUACCUUGUACAUGCAUCUUUAAGUGUAUGUACAGGUUUUUACUAUAGAUUUCAGUAU
Artibeus jamaicensis (Jamaican fruit-eating bat) is the source of this 651-nucleotide long non-coding RNA. RefSeq lists it as uncharacterized. The transcript is spliced from 3 exons. The record is from RefSeq and is a predicted model, not a curated record. Lineage: Eukaryota; Metazoa; Chordata; Mammalia; Chiroptera; Phyllostomidae.